Molecule: RNase P RNA, 342 nt
Filed under: Candidatus Taylorbacteria bacterium CG10_big_fil_rev_8_21_14_0_10_41_48
Lineage: Bacteria; Candidatus Tayloriibacteriota
Description: RNase P RNA component class A
Rfam family: Bacterial RNase P class A
About the family: Ribonuclease P (RNase P) is a ubiquitous endoribonuclease, found in archaea, bacteria and eukarya as well as chloroplasts and mitochondria.
Source: RNAcentral
GGCUCGUGUCAGACAGUCGCUCCCUACCCUAUGGGCCGAGAGAGGAAAGUCCGAACACAUCCAGUCGCGAGACUGGAGCAUGGUAGCGGGUAACGCCCGUCUGGAGUAAUCCAAGAGGUGCGAACAGAAACGGUCCUCAACGAAAGAAGAGGAAUAUCCCUAGCGGAUAGUCCUCAUGGCAACAUGAGGGUGCAACGGCAAAAUCCUUACCUGUGUGCAAGGCCGUGUCCAUUGAAAGAUGGAAGUGCCGCUCGAGGUCAUCGGUAACGAUGAUCCCAGAUAAAUGACUGUCGCAUGUCGCAAGACAUGGCACAGAAUUCGGCUUAUAGACACGAACACAAU